GAAGGAGAUAAUAAAGAAAGCAUACAGUUCUGUGAGGAGGUGGCUGCACACACCAGUGACCCACAUCACAAGUGUGCAGAUGAAGCGGUUCAGGAAAUAUAUUGUUGACAAGGAGCAACAACCGCAGGCAAGCACCUCCAAGUGUGAUCCUUCAUCAUGGCCAGGGGACGACAGUGAACUGUUAGCUGCAAGCCAGGCUGUUGAAGACACAAUCAAACAGUUCGAGCCCC
Long non-coding RNA from Coregonus clupeaformis (lake whitefish), 230 nucleotides. RefSeq lists it as uncharacterized. The record is from RefSeq and is a predicted model, not a curated record. NCBI's taxonomy places the organism in Eukaryota, Metazoa, Chordata, Actinopteri, Salmoniformes, Salmonidae. The transcript is spliced from 3 exons.